CAAAAGAUGCACAAGCAAUCGGACGCCUAGAGAAGUUGCACAAAGAAUUAGAUGUCUAUAGAGCGAAGGUUGUAAGAUUGUGGUUGUUCCAUCAAUAUUGUCAUCUUCUGAAAGCUCAAAACAUUGCGAAAGCUGCUUUUCGUAUUUGCUCUAGACUUUGGCUGUGCGUGGCGGUUGGUGUCGUUGCAGCUAUAAAAUCAAUGUCUUUGUGUGUUAGAGCUACAAUGAGUCGUUCUGUUUGUUGUGAGCUGGAAAAUCGGUGAAUGCAUAAUAUUGAUGAUGAGUGAGGCAGGUGCAAGUUCGUUUACGGCUCCUGCAAAGAAAAAGUUAAGGUUCGAUGUAGCGUCGAGGGUGUGGCCAUUGCAAGAAAAUGAAAUCUGAAUAUGAAGGAGGAGCAGCUACACUGAAACAAGACGAGGUUGAUGGUGGUCUGGCUGCUAUGUGUGUGUGUGUGUGUGUGUGUGUGUGUGAGAGAGAGAGAGAGAGAGAGAGCAGAUGGUAGAGCGUUGGUGAUGACAUUCGGGAUCUUGUAUUCCGUGAUGAGGGUUGAAGGUAUCCAACAAUCAAGUACUACAAUUAUGGCAAGAAGGGUGAGAGAUAUGCGGGUGGACGUGAGACUGACGAUUUCGUUCAGUUCAUGGAGAAUCCAGAUGAGCCACGGACUGCUCCACCACCUUCAUGAACCCGAGUGGAGUGAUGAGCCAAGUAGUGUGGAACAUCUAACCGAUGACUCAUUUGACAUGUUUGUUGAUCAACACGACUCGGCUGUGGACACUGCAAGGCGAUGAAGCUCGCGUAUGGUGAUGCGACCAAGCAUAUGCACGACUCUGGGGUUGGUGAUCUUGCGUGCUCAUUAGGCUGGAUAGAAAUGGAGGUGCAGAGAGACAGACAGACAGACAGUUGAGGGAGAUGCAGAGCUAUUGGUGCAGCAGGUGCAGCUUCUUUCGGAAAACAUGAAGACUGGAUUCUACUUAAAACUGAUGUGAAGAAUUCAUUUAAUUCAGUAAGCCGGUCUCAUUUGCUGAACCAAGUGCUUACUACGUUUCCUGAUAUUUACAAUCACGCUGCACUAGUGUACUCUGACAUCAAGCCACUAAUCUAUCUUCAGAGAUCUCAUCCGGUUAUUCUCAGCUCUCAAGAAGGUGUGCACUAGGGAUCGAGACCCACUUGGUCUUGCUUUGUUUUCAAUUGCAAUGCAAUUGAUUUUGGAAGAUCUACAGUCUCACAACAAAGAAGUAACAAUUCUGGCUUACCUGGAUGAUGUUUAUCUUCUUGGCAGUUUUGAUCGAGUGUUUCAUGUCUUUGCAAGGCUGAGAUCUGCUUUCAGCAACAUUAAUUUCAUGAUUGAGGAGAAGAAGUCAUCCUGGUAUAUUGGCUGCUGUUGACUGCACCAAACAAUGCAAACUGGCCGACAGGUUUGAGAUUAAGGGAUUCCCCACAGUGAAGUAUUUCAAGGAUGGGAAGUUUGCAUUUGACUACCCAGGCGGUCGUACCACAGAUGCACUCCUUGAAUUCAUGAACAAUCCUGUGGAGCUGACAGCAGCACCUCCAGAGCCAAAGUAGAGUGACCAGGAGAGUGGUGUGAAUCAUCUUACGGAUGAGAAGUUUGGUGGUUUUGUGGAGAAUCGAGAGCACGUGCUGGUCAUGUUUUAUGCUCCAUGGUGUGGUCAUUGCAAGAAUGCCAAACGUGAGUUUGAAUCUGCUGCUGAAACAUUGUCUGGCCACGACAAGCAAGCAUUAGCAGCAAUCGAUUGCACAGAAUUUUCUGAUGUUUGUACGCAGCAUGGAGUGAAAGGUUAUCCUACAUUUAAGUAUUUUCACAAUGGAAAGGAAAGUGAGAAAUAUGAAGGUGGACGUACUGCGGACAAUUUCUCCAAUUUUGUUUUGAGCAAAUGUGUGUCAGACAAGAAGGAUGAAUUGUAGUUUAUGUGUACGUACUGCUUGCUCAAUAACUUUUCUUCCUAUUCA
This is an RNA transcript of Corticium candelabrum, 1968 nucleotides long. It is a transcript of the gene named probable protein disulfide-isomerase ER-60, with no coding region annotated. The record is from RefSeq and is a predicted model, not a curated record. NCBI's taxonomy places the organism in Eukaryota, Metazoa, Porifera, Homoscleromorpha, Homosclerophorida, Plakinidae. The transcript has 13 exons.